AUUCUCGCCUCUCGUAUCUUAGUAGCGGGAUUCUACCUGUCCGGGUCAACUAGAUAAUAUAAUAUGGUGGUGCCCGCCCGCCCUCUCUCCGGUGGGAGGUCCUACGCUCAGACCGAGCGUGCGCCGCUUCCUUUUUGUUGUUCCCCGCGGGGGGGGGGGGGCCACACACAAAACCCGCCUGAGGGCACAAUGAAAUUGGCAGGCAAAGCUCCCGAAUACCAAUGGGGGAAGUGCGUUCAAAAAACGAAGAUUCCCCAAAUCUGCAAUUACAUAGUUUUUGCAUUUUCCCCGUCUUCAUUGUGAAAAACAGAGAUUCGCAAUAAAGUCUGACUAAUCGUUCUUCAUGAACCUGUCAGGGCGGGGCCGGGSCCCCCGGGCAACUAGUGGCCGGGGCGCCGACGCCUACGCUGCUGAAGUUGCAGUCUGAGACCUAUAACGAAAUUAGUUAAAACUUUCAACCAAACGGAUCUCUUGGUUCCCGCAUCGAUGAAGAACGCAGCGAAAUGCGAUAACUAAUGUGAAUUGCAGAAUUCAGUGAAUCAUCGAGUCUUUGAACGCACAUUGCGCCCUCUGGUAUUCCCGAGGGCAUGCCUGUCCGAGCGUCAUUGCUGCGCCUCAAAGCCCGGCUUGUGUGUUGGGUCCCGUCCCGCCGCCGGGGGGACGGGCCCGAAAGGCAGCGGCGGCACCGCGUCCGGUCCUCGAGCGUAUGGGGCUUCGUCACCCGCUCUAGUAGGCCCGGCCGGCGCCAGCCGACCCCCAACCUUUAAUUAUCUCAGGUGACCUCGAUCAGUAGGUGCAGUCGUU
Molecule: ribosomal RNA, 804 nt
Filed under: Penicillium citrinum
Lineage: Eukaryota; Fungi; Ascomycota; Eurotiomycetes; Eurotiales; Aspergillaceae
Description: eukaryotic LSU rRNA
Source: RNAcentral